RNAcentral lists this small RNA (193 nucleotides) under Sinomonas atrocyanea. Its description in RNAcentral is "c-di-AMP sequence". It matches the Rfam family "c-di-AMP riboswitch aptamer (ydaO/yuaA leader)". Rfam says of the family: This family represents a conserved RNA structure found upstream of the ydaO and yuaA genes in Bacillus subtilis and related genes in other bacteria. The ydaO/yuaA element is thought to act as a genetic "off" switch for the ydaO and yuaA genes in its native state. It is believed that the element may be triggered during osmotic shock leading to activation of ydaO, a predicted amino acid transporter gene, and members of the yuaA-yubG operon which code for KtrA and KtrB K+ transporters. Lineage: Bacteria; Bacillati; Actinomycetota; Actinomycetes; Micrococcales; Micrococcaceae. The record is from Rfam by way of RNAcentral.
AGGCCUUGUCCGCCGAGCUCUGCCGACGGCCUGGGGGGAGGUAGGAGGCAGAGACGGAGGACCCACUCAGCGGCCGCGCCCAGUUCUACGGGCAUUCUUGACGGCCUCGGGGUGAAGCCCUUGCCACUGGCAGGGCCGGAUGACUCUCAUCCGAACCCGACAGCUAACUUCGCAGGCGCAAACGAGAGGCCCU